Molecule: long non-coding RNA, 2889 nt
Filed under: Phoenix dactylifera (date palm)
Lineage: Eukaryota; Viridiplantae; Streptophyta; Magnoliopsida; Arecales; Arecaceae
Description: long non-coding RNA (PDAC_LNC010725)
Source: RNAcentral
UCAAAUUAUAUCAUCUCUAGCCGCACAGCUCCUAAAGAAUUCUAGCAUUGGCCUCUUCCGUUUCCCAGCCAUUCACAUUAUCCCUCACGCCCGUGAGCUUCAUCCACAUCCAUUCCGCACUUAUCCUCUUAUCCUCUUCUUCAAAACAGAGCCAGCUCAAUCCCAUCUUCUCCGUGAUUCUCUUCCUCCUUAAAUCCUUCCCUCCCAAAGAACAGAUUCUUCUCUUCCGGCUUGAUCUCAUAAAAUCCCCAACGUCCCAGCACCAUCAUCCUCUUCCCAUCGUAGUCUUCACUUCCAGCCAUUCCCUCCAUCUUCACGGGAUAAACUCAAAUCCCAUCCCCCAGCUCAUCCCGCCUUCAUCCCUUUCAGCAUCCAUCAAUUCCCUUCCGUCCGCAUGAACCCAGCAACCGCAUCCAUGGAUAAAGAUCAAAGCCCCAGCUCAUCUGCCUCAGCAAACAGAACCCAAGUCUUCAUCGAUCCAGCCAUAUCCAACAUCCCGUCCGCCCAAGCUUGAUCUCAUUCGUGAUGACCAUCCAGAUCCAUGACAGCAUCCCGAGCUUCACGGAUCAGAGCCUCCAUCUUCACGGGAUAAACUCAAAUCCCAUCCCCCAGCUCAUCCCGCCUUCAUCCCAUCUUUUCAGCAUCCAUCAAUUCCCUUCCGUCCGCAUGAACCCAGCAACCGCAUCCAUGGAUAAAGAUCAAAGCCCCAGCUCAUCUGCCUCAGCAAACAGAACCCAAGUCUUCAUCGAUCCAGCCAUAUCCAUGCUUCCUCUGUUCGCAGAUUGACUCCAUCAUCCACGUCCUCCCUAACUCCCGUGUCCCACGAACAAAACCAAGCCAACGUCUUCCCAGAUUUUCUCCCGUUCGCGAUCGGAUAUGCCAUCCACACCAUCCUUUUCGAGCCGUUUCUCUGCUUCCGGAAGAGAUGGAGCAACCGUACGCGUCUUCCCCGCAUUCACCUCCCCUGCUUCACGUCCGUAGCCAACUUUAUGAGAUCUUCCACAUCUAAAGAGCCGUUGGCCUGUUCCCAGCAAUUCCACGAAUUCCCAGCCGAAUCUAUCAUCCUCAUCCCGUAGCAUCUCAAAUCUCCCAACCAUUUCCUUCCAGCUUUCCACAUCUUUCCCAACUCAUCCCGCGAUGCAUACCUUCUUCCGCAAUCCAUUCCGUGUUCAUCUUCCACAUCACCUCCUCCCAGAUUUCGUCCACAUCACCCAAGGAUCUCUUCCCAUCCUGUGAGCAUCAAAGGAUCUCGUUUCUGCCAAAUCCCAUGGAUCAUCUCCCCUGUCGAGUUCAUCCUCCUGUGAUCCACUCAUCUCCCAGCCCAUUAUUUUCUUUUCCGAAUCCCUGCAUCACAGAACAGAGUAUCGCAACCUCCUUCCAGAUUCCCCAUCUCAGUGGUUCUCCGUGAUUCAUCCAUAUCCCGCGCCCGAGUUGAAGCUCCCUCCUCUGCAUGUUCGGAUGAAAGCCAGCGCAGAUCACGCACACCAAGCUUCUCUCCGUUCAGCCUCCGGAUAAGCUUAAAUCCCUUGCUUCACGUCUGGAAUCCAGCAGCAUUGCGAGCGUAUCUUCACAUCUCGAUCACUUCCCAUAGAUAAGUCCAAGCUUAUUGAGGUGGGCAGCCUAUAAAAGGCCAGGUGUGAAACAGAGGAAGCAACUUGGCUGGGGAUCCACUCCUCUUCGACUCUUCUCAGGUUGAGUUCCCACAAGAAUAAAAGGGGAGAGAGGGAGCCGGCUGGUGGAAGGAGCCAAUCAUCAUGAAGUUCCCCUGCAGUGCAGCUGUUCAACUCUUCAUGGAAGGCUGAUCUUCUCUUUAGGGCUGGAUGCAGCCCUAACAAAGGGACACGGGUUUUAUAUUUUAUUUUAUAUUCUUGGGGUUGUAUGAACUUAUUGUUUUCAAUGGAUAUCUUCUUUUGAAUCAUAUUUAAUUUCUGUGAUUUUAAGUAUGAUGUUCGUACAACUGUUCUUCAUGAUCACUAAGUAAAUAUAAGAUAGUCCAUGCUUAGAAAAGAUGCAGUGUCCUGCCACAUUAGUUUAGGGUAGACAUUUCAUGCCAACCGAAGAUGGAUUAUUUCCAAAUUAUUUUUGUGAAUUUCUAUUUAAAUGCUUAUUAGGCUUGUAGCCAAUUUGCAUAUUAAUCCAAGAAUAAAUCAAAAUACAAAUAACCCUUGUUCCGAUGUUAGUGGUGAAUUUCUUGCCCUAGGUUUUUCUCAAACUGAUAACACUUUAAUUGCAUUUUUAAUUAAAUUUCUUAGUUUAAUUUUCUUCACAAACUCUUUCUUUUAAAUAUUUUUAUUUUUUAAGGAAACAACUGUACCCCAAUCCCUGUGGAUCGAUACCCGUAAUCACUAUCCUACCAGAUACGUGUUAUUGCGUGGUCUUUAAAGUUGACUAUCAAUUUUUGGCGCCGUUGGCGGGGAUUGUUAGCAUAGUUGUUUUUCUUUAAAAAAAAUUUUAAAAAAAAUAAUAAUAAAAAUAAAAAAUAAAAUAAUAAUAUAUAUAUCUAAAAUAAAAUAAAAUAUUUUCUAUUUUUUGUUACUUUCCUUAUCUCUUUUUUCUUUUACUAAUUUUUGAUUUUUCUCUUGAUAUUAUUUGAUCAGGAAUCUAAGAGGAACUCUGGGACGAUCAAAAAGGGAACUGCUAGAAAAAGAAUGCUGUAGAGGUCUGCCUACAAAAAAAAUAAAUAAAAAAAUUGCUGGAAAAAUUUCCUUUGGUAACCUCUAAACCUUUCUUAUUUAAAUUAAUUUUCUUUUGUGGUGAUCGUUUGAUUUUAAAUUCAGCAAAAAGUGUGAAUGCAUGCCUGAUACACAUACACCAAUUAAUCCGCACAUAGUAAGGGCAAUCACCCCAACAAGAUAAGAACUGGAUUUCAUCACCAGAUUCUUGCCCAAA